Carassius auratus (goldfish) is the source of this 1226-nucleotide long non-coding RNA. RefSeq lists it as uncharacterized. The record is from RefSeq and is a predicted model, not a curated record. NCBI's taxonomy places the organism in Eukaryota, Metazoa, Chordata, Actinopteri, Cypriniformes, Cyprinidae. The transcript has 3 exons.
UCGAACGCGCCUAUUUUUUUCCUCUGAGAAUUUUCGAGAGAAGCCAGCGGAAACUGGAUUUUCUAUGUUGGACCACACGUCUCUCAGAAGAAAUAGAGUGAUACAGAGUAAGUAUGACAUUUUAUAUUAUGCUAGUGGAUUGUUUUAAGUCUUUAGUUCAUAAUUAGCGUUUUGGACAUAGAAGACUCGCUCAUUUUACUUCGUGUUGUUGACUCACAGGUUCAGUCAAGUUGAUUAAAAGCUGUUCGUUCACCAACUGGACCAAACCGGAUUUUUACCUCACCUUUUUUACCAUCACUUCAGAGCGCCAGAUAUAGGUCCUGUCCUGUCAAGUUGACUAAAAGCUUGUUCACCAAACUUUUUUUUUCCUCCACUUCACUUCAUCUCCGUUGCAAAGCAGCAGAUACAGCUGACUGACAAUGAGAUCAAUGUUGUUCAGAGUGUCAAGUUGGGCAUCUUGUCAAUCAGCGAGGACACCAGACAAGGCCUUCCCAGAUGACUUUGUGAAUGUGGCUGUGAUACUGGAAGGGGAAAUUUUCAUUGUGUAUCUCCAAGACAUUCCAAAUGCCUUCGUCACAUUGUUUGGACUGCUUUAUGCUUUAACCAUCAACCAAAGAGCUGCGAUACACCUUUGAUGUGAUCCAGUGGAUCUUCAUGAACAUUGAUGGGGAAAGCUGCUCCGCAAAAGUUCAUGGACUAAAAACAAACUAAUGCGGUGAAGUGCCUGCACCCAUUGCCAUUUCCUUUCUUUUUUUUUUUUCUUUAAGUUUAAUUGAUGAAUUUGUCAAAGCAUCAGCUAAGUUGAGAUUAAAGUGGUAUGAAACCAAUUCAUACGUCUUUUAAUGUCUUAAUGCUUUUCAGAGUUUCUUUUUGAAAGGAAUGUUGUGAACAGGAUAUUUCUAUAUUUAUCUAUAUGGGAAUGGCUUUUUAAAGUGUUUAGUUUAAUUGAUGAAUUUGAGGCUUGAGAGCAUAAAUAAUUGAUAACUUAGUUUAUAUUAAAAUGGCAUUUAAGCCAAUUCAUAUAUCUAUAAUGCGUUUAACAAUGUUUAAAUAUUUUCUUUUGGAAUGAAGGAUGUUUCUAUAUUGAAUGCUGUGGGGUGAUCUUGUUUAAUGUUAUAUAACAGAUUAAUCCACAAAACGUGCAGGUGUAAAACACCUUUCAAUGAGGUUGGUGUUUUUAGGAGUUUAUUGCAAUACAUUUUGUGUUGAAAAUUGUAUUUGUGAUU